AUGCGGCGCUCGACGGCCGACAACCCCUUUCCUCCCAUCACGCUGAUCAAGUCGGUGAAGAUGUGGCAGCGCUCGUACUUCUACGUGAAGAACCUCGCCUCCGACGGCGACUGGGUCAACUUGCCGCCUUACAACGCCGCUCCCCUGACUGGGCGGCUCCCCAGCUGGUCCCACCGAGUCAAGACGCUGACUCCCGCCGGAGCCGCCGCCGUGGCGCGAUUCCGAGUCAUGACGCAGUCGGAGGGACUCGUUGGGGCCGACUUGCUGGCCGCCUUCGUGGCGCGCCGAGUUCUCCCGCUCCAAGGCCGGCCUCACCUGAUCUGUCAGAUGAGCGGCCUCCGAGACCCAAGUCGGAUGAGCACCAAGGAGAUGCCCCGCAAGGAGGUGGCGAACAUGGUAAAUUAUAUCGCGCACUGCGAGUAUGAGGAGGACUGGCAGUUCGGCAAGGAGCCGUACUCACGCGACAACCCUCCACCAGUGCCUGCCGCCGGCGCCACGAGGCAGCCCCGCGAGUACGUUCCCGAUCGCGCAGAGAGCGACGUCGACGACCCCGACUUGGGGGCGGCGGCGAUGGAAGCCGAUGCCGAAGGCGGGGGAGGAGGGGCAGAAGGCGACUUCAGGCCCUCGGCCACCUUCGCCGACUGGCCUGAUGACGAUGCCGAAUGCGAAGUCGCUCCGCGCCACCAGCUGAGGAUCGGCCUGUCGGGCGCCGGCUCCUCCGCCGGCCAAGGCGGCGCGAAGAGGCGUCACACCGGGUCGAGUGCGCCCGGCGGCAAACUGAAAAAGUUCAAGGGGGGCGGCCGCCGCGACCAGACGAGAGGAGGCGGCCGCGAAGGCCAACCGCUUUCGAAGGGAAGUGAGAAAGCCGCCGCUAGUAUCCGCGUAAGUCUUUACGCUCUUUUAUUUUCUUCGUUGAAUCUUGUACGAGUCUUCGUUUAUAUACUCCCUCCAUUCUUCUUCAGGGCCCCUCUUUCCCUUGAGAGAGUCGCCGUCCCCUCCGUCAUGGGGUCGGCAGAGACGUCCGCCAAUACUCGGCGGCCCGACCCUGCCGCCGACCUCCGGGAGGCGACUGAGCGGAAUGCGCGGGAGAAGCGCGAGGAGGAGGAGGCCGUGCGUUUGGAGAAGGCGGAGGCCGACAGGGCGGCCGCCUCCGCCCAGAAAAAGCUGGAUGAUGCCGAAGCCGUCCUUGCGGCGAGACGGCGCGCCGAGGAGGCCGCGCAUCGCCGAUCGGCGAUGCUUGUCCCCCCACUAUCGUCUGCACCGCCGCCUCCAGAGUUCACGGGGCAGACCGGGGGAGCCGGCACCGAGAACCCCGUCGCGGAGAAGGAGAGUGGCGAGGCCUCCAUGUCGGACGCUCUCGUGCUGCCGCCGCCGCCUCCGCUGCCGUCUGGGAGACCGCACGGCAAACAGCCGGUGGAUCCGUCGGAGCCGUGGGCCAUGGACGAGGCCGAAGCGCGGCUGCUUCUCCAAGUCGCCUCGCCGGUGCGUCACCGUCUCGAGAGGGCGACCUCGGCGCCACGACCUCGGGAGAUCGGCGCUGCCAGCUCGGCAGCUCUAGACGCCGAGGCCACAAGCGCCGCGCCCACCGGGUGGGUGCACGGAGGCGGCACCGGGCCGCUAAAUCAAUUGCUCCUGGAAGUCCAGGCGAAGUUGCGGGCCGAAGGCGACGCCCUUCAGGCCUGCACCAGAGCGCACCUGGCCGCGCGAACGGCCGUCCGAGAGUAUCACAACCUCCGCGCCACUGCCUUCAAUCGCAAUGUUGAGGAGUUGAGCAAGCGGGCUGCCGACUUGUCGGAAAGCCGGAGAGCCAACGCCGCUCUUCAGGAGCAGCUGGGCGAGGCCAAUACCGUCCGUCGCGCCAAGGAGGAGGAGUGUGAUAGGCUCGCCACGGAGCGCGACCUGCUGGCGGCGCAGCUGGCCGAGCAGAAGGAGAGCUGA
This 1938-nucleotide ribosomal RNA is filed under the name Triticum aestivum (bread wheat). RNAcentral describes it as "partial small subunit ribosomal RNA". The record is from RNAcentral. Lineage: Eukaryota; Viridiplantae; Streptophyta; Magnoliopsida; Poales; Poaceae.